RNAcentral lists this ribosomal RNA (253 nucleotides) under uncultured bacterium. RNAcentral describes it as "partial 16S ribosomal RNA". It matches the Rfam family "Bacterial small subunit ribosomal RNA", at positions 524 to 776 of the family's 1533-position model. The record is from RNAcentral.
UACAGAGGGUGCGAGCGUUAAUCGGAAUUACUGGGCGUAAAGCGUGCGCAGGUGGUCAUGUAAGUCGGGUGUGAAAGCCCCGGGCUCAACCUGGGAAUUGCAUUCGAGACUGCAUGGCUAGGGUGCGGAAGAGGGAAGCGGAAUUUCCGGUGUAGCGGUGAAAUGCGUAGAUAUCGGAAGGAACACCAGUGGCGAAAGCGGCUUCCUGGUCCAGCACCGACAUUCAGGCACGAAAGCGUGGGGAGCAAACAGG